GCUUAGGAAGAUGAAAGCUUCUACUUCCUUUUUCUUGGAACACUUGCUGGUGAAACAGUCUUGCUUGGAACCUGGCUACCAUGCCAAGAGGAAGCCCAGCCCCUUCAUGUUUGAAAGAGGGGAUUGAAUGGAAUUGCUGUGUUUCCGGAAGAACGUGCAUCUUGCAAGAAGCCCUGGAAUCUGCUGCCCGGCACAGAAUGUCGGUCAGGGUUGAACCCCUCUCUCUCCGGCUUUGCUUGGCUUUCCUUUCACCACCUGUUACCUCAUUUCAUUCAGAAUUCCUGUUGGUUUCUGCGCUGGAAUCCCUGAUUUUCCUCAAGUGUGGAAAACACAGCACUGAUGAGAUACCAGUUGCUUUUCAGCGGUAAACUGACAGACUUCACAGGUCAGCAGAGGGACUCAUUUCAUCGUUGUGCCCCGGGAUCCGGGCUGAUAGAGUCUCCAUUUCAACCAUUACAGAGGAAGGAAAAGAACUAUAGCAAAUCCCUCACUGUCUCUUCAAGCUUCUCCCCGGAAGAGACCCGUGUUAUUCCACUCCCUUUUCAUUGAAAAAAGCAAGUCACAUGGAAAGCAAGU
Molecule: long non-coding RNA, 576 nt
Filed under: Homo sapiens (human)
Lineage: Eukaryota; Metazoa; Chordata; Mammalia; Primates; Hominidae
Description: HSALNT0385682
Source: RNAcentral